CUAAUGGGGAAAUAUUAGAAUGGGGUAAGGAUUGUUAUGAAAGGUGUAUAUUGAAUCUUGUCAAAAGAGUGGGCACUAUUGGAUUACCCACUAGUACACCUCAAAACCCGGAAAUCCCUAUACAGUACCAAGACAUUAAAGAAGUAUUCAGCAAAACUCAAUCGAAUACUCUACGUCCUCACAGACCUUAUGACUGUUCCAUUAAUUUACUACCCGGCGCUAUGCCACUUAAAG
This is a non-coding RNA of Pelobates cultripes (western spadefoot toad), 234 nucleotides long. Lineage: Eukaryota; Metazoa; Chordata; Amphibia; Anura; Pelobatidae. The record is from the annotation of a GenBank genome assembly.